This 253-nucleotide ribosomal RNA is filed under the name uncultured bacterium. RNAcentral's name for it is "partial 16S ribosomal RNA". It matches the Rfam family "Bacterial small subunit ribosomal RNA", at positions 524 to 776 of the family's 1533-position model. The record is from RNAcentral.
UACAGAGGGGGCAAGCGUUGUUCGGAAUUACUGGGCGUAAAGGGCGCGUAGGCGGCCUUCUAAGUCGAACGUGAAAUCCCCGGGCUCAACCCGGGAACUGCGUCCGAUACUGGAAGGCUAGAAUCCGGGAGAGGGAUGCGGAAUUCCAGGUGUAGCGGUGAAAUGCGUAGAUAUCUGGAGGAAUACCGGUGGCGAAGGCGGCAUCCUGGACCAUUACUGACGCUGAGGCGCGAAAGCUAGGGGAGCAAACGGG